GGGGAAGGUGCGGGAGGAGCGCCCCCUCUGCCCCGCCGCCCGCGAGGGAGGGAAGGAGCGGCGGGGUGAAGGAGCGCGAUGAUUAGUCCGUGCAUCUGUCAAUCUACCCGUCUCUAGUGUCUCAUUGGUUCCUUUCCCUUUCUUCUCUCCCCCUCCACCCUUCCUACCUAGCAUUUCCCCCACCGGAAAGAGGCGGGACAUCGCUGACGAUUGACAGGUUAUCUGACCAACUGAGAUAAGAGAUUUUCAUACAGUGUCCAGUUUCCUGACCUGCUGCUGCAGCUUGCAAGAAAUAAAUACAAAAAUUUGUGACAAACACCUGAGGACUUUCCAUUUCCUCCAGAGAUGCUGCUGUUUAAAAAAGAAAUCAAAAGUCCCUGUGCUUGCUCCCUGGAGGGUGUGGUGUCUUUUGCAGAAAUAACAAGAAUUGUGAGCUUAAACGCAAUUGUUUUAAGAAACACCUACAUUUUUUCGACUAUCAUUUCCCAAUGGCAGCAAUGUAGAAAUUUAAAAAUCAACUCUGAGGGGACAUUUCCAAAGUAUAGAUGUUACCUUUCAAACUUAAAAGUUCCCCCAAGCUUUCCUUGGCACCUUAUUCUCCAUAAAAGGGGUUCAUUUAUGCUAGAAAUUCAGGGGUUCUGGUGGUAA
Molecule: long non-coding RNA, 648 nt
Filed under: Cyanistes caeruleus (blue tit)
Lineage: Eukaryota; Metazoa; Chordata; Aves; Passeriformes; Paridae
Description: lncRNA (ENSCCEG00000022560.1)
Source: RNAcentral